UACAGAGGGUGCAAGCGUUGUUCGGAAUUAUUGGGCGUAAAGCGCGUGUAGGCGGCUUUGCAAGUCGGGUGUGAAAGCCCUCGGCUCAACCGAGGAAGUGCGCCCGAAACUGCAGAGCUUGAGUACCGGAGAGGAUGGCGGAAUUCCCCAAGUAGAGGUGAAAUUCGUAGAUAUGGGGAGGAACACCGGUGGCGAAGGCGGCGAUCUGGGUCGAUACUGACGCUGAGGUGCGAAAGCGUGGGGAGCAAACAGG
This 253-nucleotide ribosomal RNA is filed under the name uncultured bacterium. Its description in RNAcentral is "partial 16S ribosomal RNA". It matches the Rfam family "Bacterial small subunit ribosomal RNA", at positions 524 to 776 of the family's 1533-position model. The record is from RNAcentral.